GACGAACGCUGGCGGCGUGCUUAACACAUGCAAGUCGAACGGAAAGGCCCUGCUUUUGUGGGGUGCUCGAGUGGCGAACGGGUGAGUAACACGUGAGUAACCUGCCCCUGACUUUGGGAUAACUUCAGGAAACUGGGGCUAAUACCGGAUAGGAGCUCCUGCUGCAUGGUGGGGGUUGGAUAGUUUCGGCGGUUGGGGAUGGACUCGCGGCUUAUCAGCUUGUUGGUGGGGUAGUGGCUUACCAAGGCUUUGACGGGUAGCCGGCCUGAGAGGGUGACCGGCCAAAUUGGGACUGAGAUACGGCCCAGACUCCUACGGGAGGCAGCAGUGGAGAAUAGUGCACAAUGGGCGGAAGCCUGAUGCAGCAACGCCGCGUGCGGGAUGACGGCCUCCGGGUUGUAAACCGCUGUCGCCUGUGACGAAGCGUGAGUGACGGUAAUGGGUAAAGAAGCACCGGCUAACUACGUG
This 468-nucleotide ribosomal RNA is filed under the name uncultured bacterium. Its description in RNAcentral is "partial 16S ribosomal RNA". It matches the Rfam family "Bacterial small subunit ribosomal RNA", at positions 28 to 507 of the family's 1533-position model. The record is from RNAcentral.